Molecule: ribosomal RNA, 301 nt
Filed under: uncultured bacterium
Lineage: Bacteria
Description: partial 16S ribosomal RNA
Rfam family: Bacterial small subunit ribosomal RNA
Source: RNAcentral
CAGUAGCCGCGGUAAUACGUAGGGUGCGAGCGUUAAUCGGAAUUACUGGGCGUAAAGCGCGCGCAGGCGGUUCUGUAAGACAGGCGUGAAAUCCCCGGGCUCAACCUGGGAAUGGCGCUUGUGACUGCAAAGCUAGAGUGCGGCAGAGGGGGAUGGAAUUCCGCGUGUAGCAGUGAAAUGCGUAGAUAUGCGGAGGAACACCGAUGGCGAAGGCAAUCCCCUGGGCCUGCACUGACGCUCAUGCACGAAAGCGUGGGGAGCAAACAGGAUUAGAGACCCCCGUAGUCCCUGUCUCUUAUAC